GACGAACGCUGGCGGCGUGCUUAACACAUGCAAGUCGAACGGAAAGGCCCCAGCUUGCUGGGGUACUCGAGUGGCGAACGGGUGAGUAACACGUGGGUGAUCUGCCCUGCACUCUGGGAUAAGCCUGGGAAACUGGGUCUAAUACCGGAUAGGACCGUGCGUUAGUGUGUGCGGUGGAAAGUUUUCGGUGCAGGAUGAGCCCGCGGCCUAUCAGCUUGUUGGUGGGGUAAUGGCCUACCAAGGCGGCGACGGGUAGCCGGCCUGAGAGGGUGUACGGCCACAUUGGGACUGAGACACGGCCCAGACUCCUACGGGAGGCAGCAGUGGGGAAUAUUGCACAAUGGGCGCAAGCCUGAUGCAGCGACGCCGCGUGGGGGAUGACGGCCUUCGGGUUGUAAACCCCUUUCGGCAGGGACGAAGCUUUUGUGACGGUACCUGCAUAAGAAGCACCGGCUAACUACGUG
This 464-nucleotide ribosomal RNA is filed under the name uncultured bacterium. Its description in RNAcentral is "partial 16S ribosomal RNA". It matches the Rfam family "Bacterial small subunit ribosomal RNA", at positions 28 to 507 of the family's 1533-position model. The record is from RNAcentral.